RNAcentral lists this non-coding RNA (433 nucleotides) under Coccidioides immitis H538.4. RNAcentral's name for it is "Eukaryotic large subunit ribosomal RNA". It matches the Rfam family "Eukaryotic large subunit ribosomal RNA", at positions 1456 to 1888 of the family's 3401-position model. Lineage: Eukaryota; Fungi; Ascomycota; Eurotiomycetes; Onygenales; Onygenaceae. The record is from Rfam by way of RNAcentral.
GGUAGUAGCAAAUACUCAAAUGAGAACUUUGAGAACUGAAGUGGGGAAAGAUUUCAUGUGAACAGCACUUGGACAUGAGUUAGUUGAUUCUAAGACAUAGAAUAGUUCUGUUUGAAAGUGCACCCUAGUGCAUUAUUUGUUGAAAGGGAAGCCAGUUAAUAUUCCAGCAUCUGGAUGUGGAUUCUUCAUGGCAAUGUAACUGAAUAUGGAGAUGUUGGCAGGAGUUCUGGAAAGAGUUCUCUUUUCUUCUUGAUGACCUAUCACUCUGAAAUUGGUUUGUCCAGAGCUAGAGUUUCAUGACCAGCAGAGCUCUGCAUCUUUGCAGGGUCCAGUGCACUUCUGACAAUUCUUGAAAAUCUGCAGGAAGAAAUAGUUUUCAUGCCAGGUUGUACUCAUAACUACAGCAGAUCUCCAAGAUAAAAAGUCUCUAGUU